AGGACGAACGCUGGCGGCGUGCUUAACACAUGCAAGUCGAGCGGUAAGGCUCCUUCGGGAGUACACGAGCGGCGAACGGGUGAGUAACACGUGAGCAAUCUGCCCUUCACAUCGGAACAACCAUUGGAAACGAUGGCUAAUACCGAAUACGACUUCGGACCGCAUGGUCUGAAGUGGAAAGCUCCGGCGGUGAAGGAUGAGCUCGCGGCCUAUCAGCUUGUUGGUGAGGUAAUAGCUCACCAAGGCGAUGACGGGUAGCCGGCCUGAGAGGGUGACCGGCCACACGUGGGACUG
This 294-nucleotide ribosomal RNA is filed under the name uncultured soil bacterium. RNAcentral describes it as "partial 16S ribosomal RNA". It matches the Rfam family "Bacterial small subunit ribosomal RNA", at positions 26 to 321 of the family's 1533-position model. The record is from RNAcentral.